GCUGGCAGCCUGGGCUCUUGGAGAUUGUAUCUGGUGCUGGAGAGGACUGGCUCCCACACUCAGUGAGGGAGGAAUUUUACUGACCCAGCAUCCAGAUGAACUUUGGUGAGGAGAGGAGGUGAGGAAGUCAAUGAGCCUUGCUUUUUCACUUGCAAUUAUGGCACUUCCUUUGGAAAUGGUAAGACUAUAUUUUUAGACUUAUAUUAUUAGCUUAAAAUCCUAACAGGCCAGGAAGAUGGCUUCAUGCACGUUAAGGCAUGCAAAAGAUUUAUUUUUCCUAUGAUUUUUCUUCCUCAAGUAGUCAUUAGUAGGAAUUCUUGCUUUUUGUUAACACCUGUAAGAAUAUUAAGAGAGACCAGAAAACAUUUGUUCAUUGGCUGUUACACUAUAUUAGGCACUGACGUAGAUAUUUUAAAGGUUAAAAAUAUAUAACAGUGGCUUUUUAUUCAUUCAUCCAAGCAAUGUUUACUUGAAUGCAUAUCAUGCACCAGGUAUCUGCUAGGGACUGGAUAUUUUAAAAAAUAAUAAAACAAAACAAAACAAACAAACAUAAAAAAAAACUAAGCUAGAUUGGGUCUCCUUUCUUAAGUUGUCUCCAGUCUAAAAUCUUACUGUCUAGGUCAAUGGUUCUCAAUCCAGGGUGAUUUUGCCCCCCAGAGGACAUUUGACAGCGUCUGGAGAAAUAUUCAGUUACCACUACUAGGAGGGAUGAAGGAUGCAAUGGAAUCUAAUGGGUAGAAGCCAGCAAUGCUGCUGAACAUCCAAUAAAAUAUAAUUCAGCCCCCAACAACAAAGAAAUUAUCAGACCCAAAUGUCAGUAGUGUCGAGGCUGAGAAAUCUGGCAAACACACUGGGCUCUUCCUUAAACAGAGAGCACAUUCUCCAUGUGUGAAUUAAACAAAGCAAGCUUUAAAGCCACCUCCUGCCCUCCCUCUACUAGGUGGGUUUGGAAUAUUGAAGGGUCCCUCGCUAGCUGAGGGGAGAAUAAAUGUUAUCCCCACUCCCCACCAUCACUUAGGUGGGGUGUGGUGGUGGCACUAUUCAGCAGAAGGUCAGCAAUUCUAUCAUCAGCCUGGACCAGAGACAUGUCCUGUUAAAUAAGUCUGCCCUAGAUAGAAGACGUGAGAUACUUUUCCUCUUUAUUGGGAGCAGCCAAGCUUCUAUAGUCAAGGCCAGUUAAGCACAAAUCCUUUCAAACAAUAUUACUAAAAGACAGUGACACUCUUAUAAUUUAAACAUAGUAUUUGCACCUAAAUUGAAACUGCCAUAAAAAAAUUCUAUUGUUUUACUUCUGUGUAAGUACUAAAUGCAAAGUCUGAAAGAAGAAGUAACCUUACCAUCAUGCUGUUCAAUGUAGCUACUAGCCACACGCUGCUGUUUAAAUUAGUUGACAUUAAAUAAAAUGUAAAAUUUAUUCUUCAGUUGCACUAGUCACAUUUUAAGUGAUCACUAGCCAUGUGACUACUGGCUACUGAAUCGGACAGUAUGGGUGUAGGACAUUUCUAUUAUCACAGGAAGUUCUAUUGGACAACAUUGUCUUACAAGGCUCCAUUCCAUUGAUUCUUAUCAAUAUGUGCAGUUAUUUCUUUAAAAAAAAGGCUUGUUUCCUAGCAGCUGAGACACUGGGGCAAUGCUUUGCAUUAUCUCAUUAUCAUUGUCUGUUAGAAAGGAACUGACAUGUUCUGCUGGGGGGACCACCUCUCUUCUGAUAUGGAAUUUUUGUGAAGGGUUUAUGUAAUGGACAUGGGAUAACGUGUCAGAUGAUUGAAACUGUGAUUUUCCAGAAGAUGUAACAACGUAAAAUUCAAAUAGGUAACUCGUGUAAGGCAUUUCUGAUCUAAGUCAAGUGUGUAUUGUUAAAUAUUAAUUCCAUUAAAGUAUGUCAGCAGGGAAUUAAGAUAUGUGACCCAAAUAUAUUUCUUUUUAGUAGCUGAGUGUAAUAGAGAAGUAGUGCUCAGUGGAUCUCAACUGAAGAAGAGGUGGGACGAAAGGAAGAGAGGAGGUUCAGAAUAUUUGGAAAAGAUUCUCCAUGUUAUUUUAAUGUACCCAAUCCAGAUAAGUAUAGUUUAGAGAUAUGCAAAGGAUAAUUGAUUUACCUUUUACUGCUGUAUGAUUGGGGGGAGGGGGAAAGGCUGUGAUUUUUAAAAGUCCCUCUCUUUAGAAAUUUUGAUUAAGUACAACUUUGAGUGGGGCCUAGAUAUUCACUCCAUUCUCUCUUGCUGUCUUUCCUUUCAAUGACCUACCUGUCUAUCCCUGCCUACUUGGUUAUUGUUCUAAAUAACCAGGAUGAUCAACUGGCUUUAGAACAAUGGCCUUAGGCAAUUUUUCCCAGUAUCGAGAGUCUCUAGCAAACUUUUGCAAGCUGUAUAUCACAGUCUAUUCUUGGCUGCAUUUUUUUGAUCAGUGCCUGAAGUGAUGGUAUGUGUGCUUACUGAUCAAAGCAAGUGUCUCAUGCACAAAGGGUGCAUUACCCAGAGAGGACACUCAACUGAAGAAAUUCAGGAAUCCAUUUACUACUUUUGCUCAGGCUGAAAGGCACCCCACUUCCACAGAAAGGUUGGCUAUGAGUGUGUGAGCAGGGCUAAAAAUGUACUCCUAAAGGACCCAUUCAUGCCACUGGAUAACUCUUCAGGUAGAGAACCCAGAGUCUGGUAAUAGAGCUUUGCCCAUUUUGUUAAUGUUAGAAAGCCAUUACUAGCCAUAGGGAAACCUAUCAGUCCAUCAGAAUGACACCUUGCUCUGCUGAUAGGUACAAAACUUCAACACUCUUCCCACUUACCCCUAAUUAAGUCUCGAAAUUUCACAUCAUAUUUUCAAGAUAUGUUAGCCCUGAAUGGGUUUAUAUUUUUCACUUUCAUUUUCUCAAGUUGAUUUAGAAUAGCCUUGCUACAUCCUUUGUUUUCCUCAUUCCUGGUUUCACAUUUUCUCCUGGUAGAAAUCUAUUUUUCCCCCGUAAUAUGUAAAAUGUUGAUCAUAUGGAGUUUUUAAAGAAUAAGGUGGAACUCAUAUCAUUGUGUAACCAUCCAGAAUGUACAUUCUUUUUGGUGGCAUGAUGUACAACAUAUGACAUUAGGACAAAAUAUCCUACCACCCCCAGAAAAUGUCCAACCUUAGCUUCCUCCUCUUUUUAAGGACAUAAGAGCCUGGUGGUUGAUGAUGGAAGAGAUGAAACUGUGAAGAGACCGAAGAAGCUAAUCUAUCAAUAGUUAAGAUUCCAUUUCUAAAAGAUCUUACUUUGAGUCUACCUAUGCCUGGGAUGUCAAGAGUAUGAAUUGCCCUAAUGUUCAGGGAGCCAUUUAGGUUUGUCUUCUUAAGGUAUCCAGCUAGAGGGGGACGUGGAUCUUAAAACCAUGUAGAAUUUAGGCUUAACGGAUGCACUAAUACCUUGAAAAGAAGGCAGGAAAGAAUGAAGAAAGAACCCUAGAGUGGCCCUACUGAAGACUGCAUCAUCCAUGAGAAAAUAUUGAGUGUCUGUUAUGGGCCAGGCCCUGUGUAGUACAAUGUGUUGCUGUAACAUGAGAAAAAAAAUGUAUUUGGUCUUCGUCCCAGUUUUUGGCACAGAGCUCCUAAAACCUUUGGAAAUUCCUGAGUGAUAGAGUGUCUUUUGCAUGCUAAUGAGGUGACUAAAGAGGGCCAUGCUUAGAUAGCUUCAGGAUAAGGGUUGGUCACCAGCGAAGCCAACCACCUGAUUAUAGGGUUAGAAUUGUCAGCUCUGCACUGCCUUCCUCCCCACCUCCAGAGAGGGUAGACGGGCUGGAGAUUGAGUUCAAUCAGCAGUGGGAAAUGAUUUAGCAAAUACUGUCUAUGUGGUAAUGAUGCUUUCAUAAAAACUGAAGCAAUAAGGCUAAGAGAGCCUCCUGUUUGGUGACUACAUUGACAUAUUGGGAGGGUGUCUUACCCAGAGAGGGCACGGAAGAGUUGUGUCCUCUCCCUGCCCCAUACCUUGCCCAAUGCAUCACUUCCAUUUGGAUGUUCCUGAAUUGUGUCCUUUAUAAUAAGUGUAAUUGAAAGUAGAUAGCUUUUCUGAAUCUGUCGGUCAUUCUAGCAAACCAUUGAACCUGGGGGGUGGUUGUGGAAACCCCCAAAUUUGUGGUAGACUGGGCAGAAGUGCAGGUAGCCUGGAGACAUCAUGUACAGCUAGCAUCUAAAGUGAGGGCUUCUUAUGGAACCGAAGCCUUACUGUGUGUGGUCUAGGCUAACUCUGGGUAGCUAGUGUCUGAAUCAAGUUGAAUUGUUGCCACCCAGUUGGCUUCAGAGUUAGGCAGGAAAACAGGGUCUAGAGGCAGGGGACAUAGGCCGAUUCAUACUUCAGCUAUGACAGGAAAUAUCCUCUCCAUAGGGUGUACACUGAGUAAAUGACUGUAACUUUACUUCAUCCUCUCCAUUUACGUAGGGCGUACACCAAGUAACCAAUGGAAUCAUCUAGAGGGUAUUUAAACUCCCGAAAAUUCUGUAACGGGGCCUUUGAGCCCCUAUGCUCAGGCCCACUCCCACUCUGUGGAGUGUGUUUUCAUUUUCAAUAAAAUCCUUCAUUCCUUCCUUGUUUUGUGCGUUUUGACCAAUUCUUCGUUCAAGAUGCCCAGAACCUGGACACAUUCCACUGGUAACAAGAGAAUCAGAGAAUUCGUUGGUAUUGGAAUGACAUAGCUGGGAAUAAAGUGGUGAACAAGAGUAGACAUCUUUCUACUCUCGAAAUUUACAAAUAGUAUCCCAGUGAGUUUGUUGGGUUAUUUAGCACUAUGCUGUAUAUUAUCCAAUCACCCCCUCCAAAUCUACUCAUUCUGGUCUUUAGAGGCUGACCCUCAUGGAACACAUUAAUGGGCACUCUUUUUUCCAUCUGUAAUUAGGUUUGAACAACGGUGUGUCCUGGGAGGAAACUGAAGUGAGGGAGGUGCUGAGGAUUGAUUGGUGAAGACAGAGAGGGUCUUGGUUCUAAUUGAGCUCACAUUCUAAAAGAGAAAAUAGAAAAUAAACACGAAAAACGAAUGGGAUCACUUCAGAAAUUGAAAAGACGGAGCUUCGCUGUUGUUGCCCAGGCUGGAGUGCAAUGGCGUGAUUUCAGCUCACAGCUACCUCUGCCUCCCGGGUUCAAGCAAUUCUCCUGCCUCAGCCUCCCAAGUAGCUGGGAUUACAGAUCAUGAACUGGCAGCCAUGUGGAAAGAAGACUAGACUGCGAAUCACUUAGGAUCCCGCCCUCGGUUUAGUCUAGAAUACUCUGCCAAUCAGCUUUUUGGCCCUAGGUAGGAAAGAGACAAAUGGAAGCAAAAUAGCAAAAUGGUGAAGAGGAGGGUUCUAGAGGCAGACAGCCCUGCAGUCCUGAGUCCUGAGUCCACCGUUUAACAGAGUGACUUUGCUCAGCCUGUGGAUUAUAAUGAAACUUGCCUGUUAUAGGAUCCAAUUUUUUAGGUGGUAGAAACAUGCUCAAGGAAGAUGCAGCCCCUUCCUCCAGCCUGAGAGAAUAAAGCAUCAUUGGCUUAUGCCAGCCAUGGCAAUCCCAUUCCCCUUUUCUCAUGAUUGAUUUGGGAAUGGGCAAGUGAUCCAGUUCUAACCAAUGAGACCAAAGAAAAAGUCUAUUGGUCAGCUUAUCUCAGAAGAUUUUUGUUUCCUGCUAUUAAGAGAAACAGUAAGUUCCUUCCUGCCUGACUUAAAUGCAAUUGUGUGCAAACAUGUUACUUGGAGCUACAGCAACGAUUCUGUGACCAUGAGGCAAUAAGCCAAGGACAAAGGAUAGAAUAGUGAAAAGACAGAGUAUUCGAUUUUUUUAAUGAUAUCAUUGAACUGCUGGACCAAUGUGGAACCAUCUACUUUUAGUCUUUCAUGAUUUGUGAGAUGAUUAAAAAUUUCUUUUUUUUAGCCAUUAUUUCUUUUCUGUUACUUGCAACUGAAGACAUCCUACAUAAUACAAACACUAUCCAACUUGGAUUGUAAUUUAUCUAUUUUCCGAUCUGUGUGUUCUGUCUUACUGAUUUUUGUAUUCUUAGCACUGAGUAUAAGCCUGCUACUUAGUAAGACUUCAAUAAAUGACUGUUUAAAAAGGUCUUAGAUGAUUUAAAAAAAAUUCUGAAGUUGCUGAAAUAUGAAGACCAGGAACCAAUUUCAGGUUCUAUAAAUUUCUCGCUUCCUUCAUUUCUGGAGUAUUCUUCAUUUCUGUCUGAUUCUACCUUUACUAAAAUGAAUGAAUGAUUGAGGAAUAUGAAAAAUGGCUGGUAUAGUGGCUACUGCUGAGAAGUAUCUCUUGGAAAUUCCCGGAAAUUCCAUCAGUCACAUUCAGACCUAACUCUCUGAUGAUCAAUGUUUCUGAACUCAAACCAGUGUACAUAAUCAGUGGACUAUUUAAAGUGGUAUUAGCCUAGAAUAUCUAGGACACAUGUUUUAUGCAUUCAGUAAGCAUUUGUUUAAUGUCUCUUAUCUACCAGGCACAUUAUUAUGCAUUGGGCAUAUAGAGAUGACCAACCACACGGCCUCAAUCCUUGAAAAGCUUACAGUAACUAAAUAGGGUUAAUGGCCUAAAGAGAGGUAAUUACAAGUCUUACACCCAGUCCUCUUAGCAUAGUAUAGUGCUACCUCUGAGUUAAUUAAGAUAACAAAAUUCCUAGAUAUAUAUCUUUGAUGAAACGGUUUCCAUAAAAACUUUCCAAGCUUGGUCCCUCCCCAGCUGAGUUCAUUUUGGAAGGUGACUUUCUGCUCUCAUCACCUAAGGUCCUUAACAUGUAUCCUGUGUUCUCCGGAGGCACCCCUUGCCCAGAGUGUGCCCUCUGCAUGGUUCCCCCAGAACACCUAUUUCAAAGGAAAAGAAGUUUGAUCAUUCAGUGAAGAUUUGGGGGGCCACUUUUCUACGUGGGAGGAUUAUGAGUAUUACCUUUCUCCACUAUGUAUUAGUAAAUAUAAAGAAAACAUAAAUUAACCCCCUUUCUGGCUGGGCACGGUGGCUCACGCCUGUAAUCCCGCCCUAUGGGAAUCCAAAGUGGGUGGAUCACUUGAGGUCAGCAGUUUGAGACCAGCCUGGCCAACAUGGCAAAACCCCGUCUCUACUAAAAUAUAAAAAUUAGCCAGAUGUGGUUGCACACAUCUCUAGUCCCAGCUACUCGGGAGGCUGAGGCACAAGAAUCGCUUGAGCCUGGGAGCAAGGGUUGCAGUGAGCUGAGAUUGUGCCAUUGCCCUCCAGCCUGGGUGACAGAGCAAGACUCUGUCUCAAAAAAAUAAAAUAAAAAAAAUAAUUUAGACCCCAUUCUUCUUAGUUAACCAUGACUUCUGAAGGAGGUCAGAGCUCUUGUGCUCUGCAUCUCUGCUCCAUCAGCCUCAAGGCCACCUUUCAGGUCCACAUGAAAUAUAAGUGCACAAAGGCACCAGACUUAGCAUUAUUAGUUUCCCCCACUGGUCUGAUUUUUGUAGAAAUUGCCAGGAACUGAUUUUCUGCCCUUCCUUCCUAACAGACAAGCCUUCCAGCUCUCCCUGACACAGCUCUUCCUUAUCUCCUACUCUCUGGUCAUCAAGCUUUUAGAGAUGCCCUGGCCUUCUCUAGUUGCCCCAGCUGUAUUUUUUCUUCUUGGGAAUGCAUUGAUUCCCGAGCCUGACUGGGAAUAAAUCUCAGCUCCUCCAUUUAGCAGUUAUGGGAUUCAAGUUACUCUUACUCCCAGGGACUCAGUUUCUGCACCUGUAAAAUGGAGAUUUACCACCUUUCCUUCCAGCAUUACUGAUAUUGUUUGGCUCUGUGUCGCUACCCAAAUCCCAUCUCGAAAAUUAAUCCCUAUAGUCCCCACGUGUUGAGGGUUCUGGUGGGAGGUAAUUGGAUCCUGGGGGCGGCUUUUCCCAUGCUGUUCUCGUGAUAGUGAGUAAGUUCUCACGAGAGCUGACGGUUUUAUAAGUGUUUGACAGUUUCUCCUUCACACGCUCUCUCUUCUGUCUCCUGCCACCAUGUAAGAUGUGCCUGCUUCUCCUCCUCUCAUGAUUGUAAGUCUCCUGAGGCCUCCUCAGCCAUGAAGAACUGUGAGUCAAUUAAACCUCUUUCUUUUAUAAGUUACCCAGUCUUGGGUAUUUCUUUGUAGCAGUGUGAAAACAGACUAAUGCAAUUACCAUAAUGAGCUUUCAAUUGAUGAACUUGCAUCACUGACUCCUCAACACACAGCUGACUUCCUACUGUAAUUGUUCACCAUGCAGACAUUUGUGGAGCCACAAGCAUAACCAUCAUGGUAUUUAAGAUUCAUUCUGUAUCUGGAUUUAUGCACUUUAUGAAAAAUCAUCAAACUGUCCUUAUUAUUGGUGUCUUUUUUCUGUAUAUAUGUUAUGCUUCAAUA
Long non-coding RNA from Gorilla gorilla gorilla (western lowland gorilla), 8294 nucleotides. RefSeq lists it as uncharacterized. The transcript has 6 exons. NCBI's taxonomy places the organism in Eukaryota, Metazoa, Chordata, Mammalia, Primates, Hominidae. The record is from RefSeq and is a predicted model, not a curated record.